AAGAUUCUACUUUUCUAACAAGCUUUUCGCUGAUUUGAUGCUGUUGAUUCAUGGACCGUCCUUUGAAGAGCAGAGCAGACGGUGGGCCAGUUAGUGCUGGAUCCAGUUAUGAUCUCCUCUACUUGUUGUAAAGUAUUUAAUACAGCACCUGGCAUAGGGUCAGCCCGUCACUAUUACUGCUUUAUUAUCUGUGUAGGAUAAACCGGAAAACUUAUCCUUGAUGCACUGUUUAAUAUUAUCAAAACUGGGACGAAGUUGAUCCUCAUCUUCAAGGACGUGUUACAAGCCUUAUGGAAUUUGCUGGUCAUCUGUAGCUAAGCAAGCUGAGCAAAUCUGACAGCCCUUGUGCAGAGUCCCUGUGGACGUCACUCACUCUCAGCCCUUGCUCCAUGCACCCCCUCCUGUGGGCCAACAGAAGAGGAAACCAAAUGUUUUCAUCAGCAGCCAGGGAAGUCGGAGCCACCUUACAAAGGGACCCAGUGCUGCAUUAUUAAACCAGCCCUGAAAGAAAGGAGAGCAGAGGAAAAGAUUUUCAUGAAAAUUGUUACAUAUUAUAACACAGAUCCUGUGCGCAAAAGAUGAAGAUACUGUUGUCGACUGGCACGGCGUCAGAGGAAAACCGGAGGAGGGUCAGACGGUCAUUCCUGGGCCCUCCCCGCCUCCAGAGCAGCGAAUCAUCCCGCGGCCCGCAGAUACCCAAGCCGCGAAACAGGACGAGCCCCCAGGAGAGCUCCGCUACAGUCACAAUUCUAGAUGAGCAGCAGAUGUGGUUACGUCCUAAACCUACUGGAUGGAUCUGGUGUCAAGUCUCCUCUGGACAGCCGGUGACGCUGAUGGGCCCCCACCGCCACAAAGAACAUCAAUCAGGGAGGACUUCAGGGGGGAGUAAUCACAUAUCUUGAAAAGAGAAUAAUAGCCAGAAGCCCCUGAAGUUCUCACCAUGAAGCACCAUGGCUCCAACACUCAGAACCCCGCUCAGGACAAAGGACUCUGAGCAGAUACCAAACGGUGGAACCUGGGGUGGUCUUAUCUGCAGGGCUUUCUGCUUUUUAUUGACCGUUGGCAGACUAGGAGGAAGACAGGAGACAACAGGGAUUCUGUACCUAAGGCGGCAAC
Molecule: long non-coding RNA, 1116 nt
Filed under: Equus asinus (donkey)
Lineage: Eukaryota; Metazoa; Chordata; Mammalia; Perissodactyla; Equidae
Description: lncRNA (ENSEASG00005031402.1)
Source: RNAcentral